UGGUUCUCCCCGAAAGCUAUUUAGGUAGCGCCUCGUGAAUUCAUCUCCGGGGGUAGAGCACUGUUUCGGCUAGGGGGCCAUCCCGGCUUACCAACCCGAUGCAAACUGCGAAUACCGGAGAAUGUUAUCACGGGAGACACACGGCGGGUGCUAACGUCCGUCGUGAAGAGGGAAACAACCCAGACCGCCAGCUAAGGUCCCAAAGUCAUGGUUAAGUGGGAAACGAUGUGGGAAGGCCCAGACAGCCAGGAUGUUGGCUUAGAAGCAGCCAUCAUUUAAAGAAAGCGUAAUAGCUCACUGGUCGAGUCGGCCUGCGCGGAAGAUGUAACGGGGCUAAACCAUGCACCGAAGCUGCGGCAGCGAACGUAUCACCCAAGACAACUUUACGGAGUUGACGAUUGACGGAGCGAAGCGACGUCAAAGCGUUCAUUAAAGUCGAGUUGGCUUAGGGAUACGUUCGUUGGGUAGGGGAGCGUUCUGUAAGCCUGUGAAGGUGUGUCGUGAGGCAUGCUGGAGGUAUCAGAAGUGCGAAUGCUGACAUAAGUAACGAUAAAGCGGGUGAAAAGCCCGCUCGCCGGAAGACCAAGGGUUCCUGUCCAACGUUAAUCGGGGCAGGGUGAGUCGACCCCUAAGGCGAGGCCGAAAGGCGUAGUCGAUGGGAAACGGGUUAAUAUUCCCGUACUUGGUGUUACUGCGAAGGGGGGACGGAGAAGGCUAUGUUGGCCGGGCGACGGUUGUCCCGGUUUAAGCGUGUAGGUGUGUGUUCCAGGUAAAUCCGGUUCACUUUAACACUGAGGCGUGAUGACGAGGCACUACGGUGCUGAAGCAACAAAUGCCCUGCUUCCAGGAAAAGCCUCUAAGCAUCAGGUAACAUCAAA
Molecule: ribosomal RNA, 878 nt
Filed under: Salmonella enterica subsp. enterica serovar Typhimurium
Lineage: Bacteria; Pseudomonadati; Pseudomonadota; Gammaproteobacteria; Enterobacterales; Enterobacteriaceae
Description: partial 23S ribosomal RNA
Rfam family: Bacterial large subunit ribosomal RNA
Source: RNAcentral